AUUUUUUAGUUCAAAUUCUUAAUCAAUUUGCAAUCCAUUACGUAAAUAAUUUUCAUAAUUAUUUAGACCCUGAAAAUUUGUAUCUAUUGAAGACAUACUGUAUUGCUCAGAAUAGCAAUGAAGAUGGUAUUCGUAGAGCAUAUUAUCAUAAUAUUUUCACUAUUGCUCAGAGAUAUUUAUAAAAAUAGUCAAGUUUACAGUUAUUUUUUUUUAAAUAAAUAAUUUUAAUUUAUGUUUUAGUACCUUUAUCUGUAUUAUUCAGUAUAAUGACUAUAAAUAAUGCAUGUUUACAAUCAAUCAAAAGUUAAA
Molecule: long non-coding RNA, 309 nt
Organism: Rhopalosiphum padi (bird cherry-oat aphid)
Lineage: Eukaryota; Metazoa; Arthropoda; Insecta; Hemiptera; Aphididae
Exons: 3
Source: RefSeq, a predicted model, not a curated record